This 62-nucleotide transfer RNA is filed under the name Dreissena polymorpha. RNAcentral's name for it is "tRNA-Ser". Lineage: Eukaryota; Metazoa; Mollusca; Bivalvia; Myida; Dreissenidae. The record is from RNAcentral.
GACAGCUCAGUGGUAGAGCGUUUGCCUCGAGUGCAUGAGGUUGUGGGUUCAAUCCAUUGCCG